This is a long non-coding RNA of Bombus huntii, 5772 nucleotides long. RefSeq lists it as uncharacterized. The record is from RefSeq and is a predicted model, not a curated record. NCBI's taxonomy places the organism in Eukaryota, Metazoa, Arthropoda, Insecta, Hymenoptera, Apidae. The transcript has 3 exons.
GAAUGCGAUUGAAAAUAAAUCAUAUUUAGUUGCAUUUAUAUAAAUGCGGAAUUCGCAUAAAUAUUCGCAAUGUAUUGAUGACUUAUGUAACAAAAUAAAAUAAAUAGAGAACGUAGAAUAAAAUCUUUUCAUUUAAACCUUGGUUUUUUAGAGAAUCGAUUUUGGUAUCCUUGAUAAAAUUUUUCUUUGUGCUUUGUUGAAUUUGUACUUUGUUGAAUCUAAUAAUCUAAUUAUUUAUAAAAGUCGCGUAGGCAUUCUAAAUAUAGAAACAAUGGUGUUACUGUACCGUAUUGUAUGCAUAUAAUUACGUAUGUAAGUAUAUGCGUACUAUUGUAUACGCAGCUAAUUUUCAAAGUCUGUUUUUGUAUAAGAAAUCAUCUGCCCGCUCCACAAACCUUCAAAAAUUAAUUUUCUUAAAAUCUAAAUAAGUUUUAGAUGAAAAAAACUUUAUUCUACAUUUUUGGUGAAAUGAUUUCCCGUUUUUUCUAUAAAUUUCAUUUCGCUUACAAAUGCAUACUUACGUUAGCAGAUUUUCAAUAUCAAUUUGAAAGACAAACUCCAAUUUUUUUUAUUUCAAUUCUGCAUAUUUUGGAUCCACUUCUUAUUAUACAACACUUGAUCCGAGCAAUGAUUGGCUUAUGACGAUUCAAAUUUUCUUUUGUUUAUUGACUGUGGUAAAUUCUUAUUAUUUCUUUUUUAUUGUUUUCGGCAGGUCGUUCAUUUCUUGAGUUAGCUCUUUUUCAUAAUUCUUAAUGUAUUGCAUAUGUAUUGUAUUUUCUAUCUUUUAUUUAUUUUUGGAUAAGGUAGCGUUUAUACAAGACUUUACUUUGAGCCAUAUCUUGAGCAUUUAGGAAGCAGGGGCGUUAAAUUUGGCGUAAGUCAAUAUUACAUAAAGGUUAUUUGAAGUAAUAAAUGCUUAUGAUAAUUGGAUUGGUUUGCUUGUUUCCCAAGAAGUAAAGAAUACCUAGAUUAAUUGCCAAUUAUUUAACAAAAAUUUAUUCAACACACGCAAGCUAUUUUCUGAGAAAGUUUGUUACAUUUUACAUUUUUCUGUAAUGUUAUACAUGUUGUUAUUUAUUUUAUGUAUAUUAUUUUUCUGUUAUAUAUAGCCGUGAUAUUUCGUGUUAGCGAUGAUAAGCUAUAAUCGUUCUGCGCAUUACACGGAUUAAAAGAGAUUAAUUUUAUUCCGACAGAAAAACCCACAGAGGAACACUGUGAGGUCUUAGACGAAAAUGUUUAUAGUAAGGUUAUACAGAUAGACAUUCGAAUAGAAUAUUCCAACUUCCAAUAAAACCCAGAAACUGUUUUAAACAAGUUUUACGAAGUGUAAUUUAGAAGGAGUAUUACAUUGACAUGUAUAAAUAUCUAUUUGUAUGUGACAAUACAGAUUGCCGAAUUUUCUGAACUGCACCUUUCAGAAAAACCUAAUCCCUGGCGUCAGUUCAGGUAUCGCCCUGUCCUUGCCAAAAGAAGGUGCGCCAAGGGCAUAUAAUAGAGUUGUCGUAACACUCAGGAUGCUGUUAAUUGAAAAAUUAACAUUUUCAAGGUAUCAGCGUGCAUUUAAAGCAUGUGUGGCAAAUCUUCGAUAGUCGGAGAAAAACAUUCAUCGGACAUUUUUCAACAUUUCGAUAGAUAUCAUGCAAUAGCAAAAACAAACAAACCAGUCAAACACUAUCACACAUUCAAACUCCAGGGCGUUAUCUCCACUGAAACAACAACGACGAAAUUUUUGUAGCCGCUUUAUAUUUCUUGGAAAAUUCACCAUUUGUUAUCGAAUGUUUCUCCAAACUUCUUCGUGUUCAUAUAUUUUCUUUUAUAUUUAAUAUAAAUAUAAAUAUAUAUAUUUCCAAAUAGGGAAAUCCUCAAUUUAUUUAUCUUUAAUGGGUAAUAACAUUACACAAUUUUUAAUAAUCUGCCAAAUAUGAAUUAACUUCAUGCGUCAUAUAUCAAUGGAUUUCUCAACAAAAAUGUGCGAUAAAGGGGAAGCCACAAACGCCCAUUAUUAUUAUUAUUAUUUUUAGUAACAUAAUUAAUAAGAAUAUCGCAUAGCUUUUAAUGUUUUCGUAGAACAUCAACUAAUUUUGUGGUUUAACUGUGUAUUUAACUUCUCCACGUAACUGACAAUAAGGGUCGAAUUGUAAACAUCUAAAUUAUAUUUCUAAAUUAUUACAUACAUAAAUGACUAUAUUAAUGAUUUUCAGAAUAACAAUUAAUUCGCAGUGAGGAUUGAGUCGUAAAUGCUUAAAAAGAAAUUCAAUCGUAUUAUGUAUAUCUCGUUACAAUAUCUUAAUCUUUUGUAAUAAUAACGCUACACACUUUUUGGUAAUCUUUGGUACAUAAAUUAAUUUUAUUAAAGAAUUUUUCUAAUGAAUGAUAUUUGGCAAAUUGUAUAACUCAAUUUCCUAAAAAAUGAAGCAUUCGAUCCAAUUUUAUUAUUUUUGAUUUUGACACACUGAAUUUUCACAUUGAAUUUUUAAGUUACUUUUACAUUAAUAAUCUGUCUCUCACCUCUGUAUAAACAGACAAUUUCGGAAUAAUAAAUACGAUUUGUUUGAAUAGCUAAUACACUUGAAGAAGCAUAAGGUAAUCGCAGAUGUGGGUUUUCCCAAGGGUGAAUUUAAAGGAAGGGUUAUUGCUGGAAUCGUAUUUAUCAUCCUUUUCAAUAGUAGCAAAUCAUUUUCUCGAGAAAUAAAUACUUAAAGUGUAGAAUCAUGUCACUUUAUACGUACUUAUAAAUUUUUCUAAUAUCGAUUCAGCAGUGAAAACAAGAUAUCAUGGUUAAAUAGUAAUACACCCAAUAGAUAUGGCCAUACAUGAAUGAGCUAUCUUCUUGGAGAAACUAAUUCUGAGAUUUUGAUUAAUACCAUGUGCCAAUGACGCAUUUUGAAAGAAAAGAUCUGCCAGAAUGACGUUUUUCAGUCGAAAAAAUAACCGCGAGCCCGUGUUUCUCAGAGCGUUUGAUUUCUUUUAUAAAUAGAAUAAUAUAAAUGCCGAAUUGAAGUAUUAUUAUAAGAAAAGAUGAUAUUUUAUGAAAAAAAGAUAAAGAAGGCUGCAAAUAAGACCAAGUUUAAUAUUUGUUCCAUUAUUAUCGAUUUAAAAAAGGUAGCAAGGUCAUAAAAGAGCAAAUAUUAUUUCGUCAGCCCCUUUUUGUUUGCAGCAAAUAAAAGAUAUACGAUCACUAGAAUUGCGUGACCGGUAUUAAUAUCCAUACACGAAGGUUAUAUUUUUAGAUAAUAAGGUAUACAUAUAUAUUUCAAUUAUAUUUAAAAAAUAGUUUCAUAUUCCAGGUAUUUUUCGUAAUAUAAUAUAAAGUAUACCAUUAUAUAAAUUAUAUAUAGUUUAUGCUACAAGUCUUAAUAUUAUAUUAUAAUUUAAUUAUAAAUAACUAUAAUAAAAUGUUAUAUCAUAAAUUAAAUUUAAUUUAAUUUAUUGAACAGAGGUGUGGGUUGCAACUUUUUAAAAUUAGAAGGCUUCUAGAACUAAAAAAAUGAUCUUUAUUUAACCUAAAAGUUCUACAGAGACAAUAUUUUCCGUCAUUUGGUGUACUACUAUCUUGGAAUUUUCUUAAAUUUAAUUUAAUCGUUUUAUCAAAUUUGACUUUUAAAAAAUCUAUGAUCUAAUUAGAUUGCCAUCCGAAAAUUCUUUCAUUUGAUUAGGAUUCUCUUGCGUAAUAAUUUAUCAACUAAUACCAGUAAUAACUAAUAUUAAUAAAAGUGAAUACCUAACAACAUGCUUGAAAUAAUCGCAGAUGAACAAUGUCAUCGUUAAUGAAAUAUUGAAAUUCGCAAAGUCUGUAGUCCAUUUUUUAUAUUUAAAAGAAUCUCUUAAAUACGUACAAAUCUGUAGUCUACUCAUAAUUUAUCAAUGUUCUCCUAUAAGUACUGCCAAAAUUGAUAGUAGUUGACAGUUAAAAUUAGAAUUAAACGUGAAUGAAUCUUUUCUGGACAGGUGACUAAUUACACGCGAUCGGGAAAUUCGAACAAUCGAUGAUUACGAGGAUCAUCGGAUCGGAAUCACGGGACUUCUUUUAUUUUCAAUUAUGCAUACCUAUCCCAUUAAAUAGCGUUACAUGAUUUUAUCCACGCGCCUCGAAUUCAGCCGCAACAAUCGACAAAACCGAUAAGGAUCACGAAGCCAGCAGAAAAGAUUCUGCUGAUAAUAAAUCGCCAUUCAUAUAAAUAGAAAAUCGAUUAACACCACGUUUGCCUCUGUAACUGUGUCAGUAUCUCUACCGUUAGUCACGCAAAUGAUUGUUUUCUUUUUCCUCGGGCCAAAGGCAGGAUAGGGUAAACGUCCGUAAUCUAAAAAUAUAACUUCUUUCGAGCGCUGAUCGGAAGUCGUGUCACGAAAUUUCACAAUGCGUGGGACUAAUUUGGAAAGUGACGAUGCAAAUUAUGUGAAAUCGUAUUUGGCUUAGAAGGAACUUAUGUACGUAAUAAACAGCAAAUCGCGAAGUUCUUCGUUUCCAUGGAAGCUGUACAGUUUCGAGGAAGAAAUUUGCAUAGGAAGAAAAAAACAUGGAAAAUGGUGCACUCUUGCGUAUACUACGAAAUAUUAUACGAUAACAGAGCGUUACACAACAUAAAAGGAAAAUCGUGUUUACACGAAAAAGGCAAUCGACAUAUGCAAAUAUACGUACAUCAAGCAAGGACUGGAUACAAUUUCAUUUGUGUUUAGUUUUAAAGAAGAGCUUGGGAAUACCGAGUUUUAUUAUUAUAGCGCUUGGACAAUGGUGAUUAAUCAUGCUUCAUAGUCGAUGGGAACGAUUCAUUAUUGAAGCAGAUUUCCAAUCAUAUCGACCAAGGUGGGAUAUUUUUAAAAGAUUAUUUUAUUUUUAUUCCGGAUCACGCUAGUGGAUUUCGAUGAUUUAUUGAUUAAACACAGGCGACUGGUCAUAGAAGAAUACCGUGGACAAUAGUUGGAUUGUUGAAAUUUUUGUUGUAACCUUGACUAUGUAACGGUAUAGAAUAUAUCUAGGUAAAUAUAUGUAAGUAAAUAAUAUCGUAUAGUAUAUUUAUUAUAAUAUUAUAUUAUUCAUUUAAAUUAAUAAUAUAAAUGUUACAUAUCAUGUCUUGCCCUGAUUUUUAUAAACUUUCUCUGUAUAUUUAUAACAAUAAUGUACAUGUAUUUUAGAUAUCAUAUAAUAUUUUUAAUAUAACUGAAUAUUUGUCAAGAUAAUAGAUAGAAUUUUACCAGAAAUUUAAUAUCACAGGGUACAUAUUAGAUGCAGAAUUCAAAUGCCAAGAAAGAUCAGAUAAUAUGUAUUCGGAUGUAUUAUAUAGUUAUUGGAGAAGUAUCAAUAUUUAAAUAAGCUGAGAAACUUCUUUGCUUUAGUUAAGGAAUAUAAAUUAAGAAACGAUCUUUUAUAUAUAUAUACAUAUAUGCUGUUUUCAUUACAAUACAUACAAAUUCUAAAUAUGAUUAAAAAAGAAGAUACAGGAAAGGAUAGAAUAAGAAAAUUUUGAAGCUCAAACAUUAACCUUUUUCUCUUUAAUUAUUAUGCAAAAGAUGCGUUUGGCGACCUCUCUUCUACUAAACAUAUGCACGAGAACCUGUUGUUUUAUGAUCUGCUUCGAUAAUAUCCCUAACACUUACUUGCUCUACUUGUACUGAAGAUGCAAAUUUAUACGUAUAAGUAAUUAAGCUACAUAGCAGCAACUAGUUUCAUACAUAGAGGUUAAAAGUAUAUAUGAAGUUACAGUACGCCAGUCAUAUAAAACAUACGUUACUAUGUUAUCGUGUAAGUGGAUGCGAUAUGAGAAUGAAAAGAAA